Molecule: long non-coding RNA, 456 nt
Organism: Pseudophryne corroboree (corroboree frog)
Lineage: Eukaryota; Metazoa; Chordata; Amphibia; Anura; Myobatrachidae
Exons: 3
Source: RefSeq, a predicted model, not a curated record
UAUCAGUGUCUCAGAUUUAUAAGGCCUGCACGGAAAUGGUGAACUCCUCAGAUAGUGUCCACUAAAACCAGUUUCCCACACACUUCCAAAAAUAGCCGUCAGCUGAGCAGAUGCCGCCAGGAUGCAAAGCUGGUGCAGCAUCAAGUGUGCCAUAGAAACCUAAAAACAAAAACACCUGCAUCUAAAUCAUGAGAUUCGGGAAGAGAACAUGUCACCUCCAGUCACUUAUGGCCAUUACAGCAUGCAGGUAGAGAGCACCUUUCCAGCAUUGCCAAUUGGGGAUAUAUAGAUCAGGAGCCUGACCCCAUUCACAGAUGCUGUAUUCCAUCUUUAGUCUGGUACGAGAACAAGCUGUCACUUGGACAUUUGUAUUUCAAAUCUUGCUUUUGUUGUAAAAGUUUUUGCUUUUAUUAUUUCAUUAUUAUUUUUGCUUAAUAAAGACAUGUGAAGGUUUAA